Phoenix dactylifera (date palm) is the source of this 959-nucleotide non-coding RNA. The record is from RefSeq and is a predicted model, not a curated record. NCBI's taxonomy places the organism in Eukaryota, Viridiplantae, Streptophyta, Magnoliopsida, Arecales, Arecaceae.
AAAUUAGUGACCAACUAAACAGAAAUCAUAAUAGAAUUAGGACUUGGCCUUAAAUCUCAAUAGGAUAUGGACUAUCAGUUGAAGGUAUAAAUAAAAAAUAACAGCUAUUAUAUAUUAUAGCAGUAUGUUAUAAUAACAAACAAAUUCACAUUUUAUUCAGCAUUUUAUUUUUUUCACAUUAUUAUUUUAAUAUUAAAUUGAAGGAUGGUCGAAAUUGUUGCAAUGACCGACAUAAUGCUAUCAAUGAGAUGGGACUCCGGGCAAAAAUGAUGAUAUUUAUCGCCGCUCGCCAGCCCUGGCCAAAACCUAACCCUGAACCGAAGAGCCCCAAUCGCAUUCUCUCUCUCCCUCUCUAUCUCUCUCGUCCACAACGAAGCACCGACAAAAGAGGCCGCCUCUCUGCAAGAAAGGGUUUCUCUUCUCAACUCUUUUCCCCUCGAAUUCUUGGCUAUCGGACUUUCCAAGACGCUACACUGAGAAGGUCACUUUAAGUGCGUUCUUGCUGUUUCUUGUUUGUUAGAAUUUGUUGUACUUGUUGCGAGUUAUCUGCUUCUGAAACCUGGAUUUCUUGUAAUGCAAAAACAAGAGAGUGUCUUUCUUCUAUGAUUGUGUUCUUUGAAUCUAAGAAAAAGAGAACAUAACCCUAAAGGAUUAUUGGGGUAAUAUAUUGAAAUUUGAUAUGAUCUUCUGAAGAGGGUCGGACGGGUGUCAAUAUUUUUUGUUUCUUUCUCAAAUUUUAGGGAUAAAUGCUAUAUGAAUUUCACAUGGAGGGUCCUCGCUCUGCUUUAAUUGUUAUAGCUAUCACAAGGUAAUGCCGCCGAGGGUAGAGAGCUUUGCUGCUAUGUGUGCUUUAAGGUCUUUGUUCAUGGUAGCUAUCGAUGGUGGAAUUGUAAUUGAACUGCAAGUAUGUUAUAAGAAAUAUUUGCUAUAAGAUGUUCCUAGUAUGUUUCCUUUCUUCA